This is a small nuclear RNA of Dipodomys spectabilis (banner-tailed kangaroo rat), 106 nucleotides long. Lineage: Eukaryota; Metazoa; Chordata; Mammalia; Rodentia; Heteromyidae. The record is from RefSeq and is a predicted model, not a curated record.
GUGCUCUAUUCGGUAGCACACUCACUAAAACAUACCAGUACAGAGAAGAUUAACAUGGUCCCUGUGUAAGGAUGAAAUGCAAAUUUAUGAAGACUUCCACAUUUUU